Molecule: long non-coding RNA, 1011 nt
Organism: Acyrthosiphon pisum (pea aphid)
Lineage: Eukaryota; Metazoa; Arthropoda; Insecta; Hemiptera; Aphididae
Exons: 4
Source: RefSeq, a predicted model, not a curated record
UCACUUAUCAGUGAUCACUCAUGAAGGGCCAAGACGUGACAAGUAAUGAACUAUUGAAUAAUUCAAAAACAUUUAUCAACUGACUAGACAACUUCCGCCACAACGGUUUUUGCAGCUUUCGUUCGACGACUGAUAUUUUUGACAAAAGUUUUAAUUAUCUCAAGAGAAAUAAAAUAAGAUGUGCAAUUAUUCCAUUCCAAAAAUAUUGCGUUCCACAGCAAAAUUACCAGAAACACCUGCCUAGGAACGCGUUGGAUAUGGAACAGGUGUGUUGUUUCUCAAGCAAUGUUAAUGUGCUCUAAUGUUAACCCAUAUGAUCACUUAAGUGUCAGUGAAUUCAAAUUGCAAAGAAAAGAUCAGUCUCCGUGGGUAGCAAAAAUUAUCAGUCGUUAUGCUGGUAGAUAUCGCAAACAGGAUACCAAUCGUCUGCAGCUGGAGGCCAAAGUAUUAUCGUCACUCAACCAUCCUAAUAUAAUUGGCUAUAGGGCAUUUGUCAAAAGACCUGAUAGUCGAGAAGUACUAUUAAUGACACAAUGCGAACAAAGCUUUAUCGAUUUGAUUGUAACGCGCAAGGAAGAGAAUCUUUGACCAUAUACUGUAAUAUAUCACAAAAGUUGCUAUAGACAUUGCAAAAGCAUUAGAUUAUUUACAUUCAUCUUUCAUAUAACACGGAGACAUACAAUCUGGAAAUAUUUUAGUGAAAAAUAACUUUGAGAUUGUAAAGUUUUGUGAUUUUGGUGUCAGUUUGCCAUUAAAAUUUGAUGGAACAUGGCAUAAAAUGAAGCAUUAUACAUUGGAACUCCUUGUUGGUCUGCUCCAGAAAUAUUUAAGGGUGAAAAAUGUAUGGGGGCAAUCAUCACAAGUAAAGCUAAUAUUUAGCAUAUUUCUAGCUUCUUCUGAUGACUCAUCUGCCCAUAAAGUUGAUGGGAAUUACAUAUCAGUUUCUACAUAGUUUUUAUGUAAAAAUUUGACGUAGGAGCAUUUUCUAUGUAAUUUGUAUACCUAUUGUAC